This 960-nucleotide long non-coding RNA is filed under the name Homo sapiens (human). Its description in RNAcentral is "mir-100-let-7a-2-mir-125b-1 cluster host gene". Lineage: Eukaryota; Metazoa; Chordata; Mammalia; Primates; Hominidae. The record is from RNAcentral.
GCAGAGGUUGCACCUGACACAUUAGAACUCCGUUGUCACUGCUGUGGCUGUUAUUCCCCUCGGCAAGAGCCAAGGAGCAAACAGGACGUGAAGAUCCCGGUGUUACACAUCCAAUCGUUCACCUCCUUCCAAGACUAUGACAUUCCAGGAAACCUUCACUGCUAAGAGGAACUAAGAUCUAGAGUAUCUCCUCGAGGAAGUACAACUGACGCGCGUGGAUGAUUUGAAGAUAUUAGCCUAACAAGAUGGAAGCAGGUUUAAAAUUUUACAUAAGAAGUUACCUUUUUCAGUGGAUGCUGUGGGGCACCACCUCCUUGAGGACCAAGGCACUCCAGCUGCCAGGAAUUUGGCUGCUAACCUCACACAGCUGAGCCUUCCAUGAAAAUUGCUCUCUGCCAAAGAGAACUUCCUAGUCCAAGGUCAUGUCUACUCUCCAGAGAUGUGACUGGAGUGAUUUGCACCCGGAUGCCUAGACUCGCCAUCUGCUCAAAGACUGCUCAGAAAGCCCUCCCAUGCAUUCCCCUGCUGCAUACCAGCCCACUCUGCCUGCAGCUGCUGUCUGCAGGACUUCAUAUCUAUGCCACACUGUGUAAAAGCUGUGCUUCAAGAAAUCACAAAAACAUUUUCCUGCACCUACUACACAGCCUGAGUGCGGCAUAAGUUGACCUUGCUUGCUAAGAAAUGGGGCAAGAAAUGCUUUUUUGUGUGUGUCAUGUCUGUUUGUUUUUCAAUUAAGAGAGGAAAGCAUUAGGCAGAUGGAAUGUACAUGUGAGGAUGAGGAGACAGAAAACAAGUAGCCCUUUCCAUCAAGAUAGAGGGUUUUCUGGGGUUGCUGGCUAUUGAAUGUCACUCCUGAUUUCUCUUUCCAAGGCACUGUACCACCAGCCUACUGAGAUUGUGUGGGAGCUUUCAUGGGGGUUGUAUUUCACUGAUGAAAAUAAAUUUUUUGCAUAAUGUGAA